Molecule: ribosomal RNA, 418 nt
Filed under: uncultured bacterium
Lineage: Bacteria
Description: bacterial SSU rRNA
Rfam family: Bacterial small subunit ribosomal RNA
Source: RNAcentral
UGGGGAAUAUUGGACAAUGGGCGCAAGCCUGAUCCAGCAAUGCCGCGUGUGUGAAGAAGGCCUUAGGGUUGUAAAGCACUUUCAGGGGGGAGGAAAGGCCCGCAAGGGUUUUGACGUUACCCCCAGAAGAAGCACCGGCUAACUCUGUGCCAGCAGCCGCGGUAAUACAGAGGGUGCGAGCGUUAAUCGGAAUGACUGGGCGUAAAGCGCGCGUAGGCGGUUAUAUAAGUUGGGUGUGAAAUCCCUGGGCUCAACCUAGGAAUUGCAUUCAAAACUGUAUGACUUGAGUGAAGUAGAGGUGAGUGGAAUUUCCGGAGUAGCGGUGAAAUGCGUAGAUACCGGAAGGAACACCAGUGGCGAAGGCGACUCACUGGGCUUUAACUGACGCUGAGGUGCGAAAGCGUGGGGAGCAAACAGG